This 253-nucleotide ribosomal RNA is filed under the name uncultured bacterium. Its description in RNAcentral is "partial 16S ribosomal RNA". It matches the Rfam family "Bacterial small subunit ribosomal RNA", at positions 524 to 776 of the family's 1533-position model. The record is from RNAcentral.
UACGUAGGGGGCAAGCGUUGUCCGGAUUCAUUGGGCGUAAAGAGCGUGUAGGCGGCCAGGUAGGUCGGUUGUGAAAACUGGAGGCUCAACCUUCAGACGUCGACCGAAACCAUCUGGCUAGAGUCCGGGAGAGGAGAGUGGAAUUCCUGGUGUAGCGGUGAAAUGCGCAGAUAUCAGGAAGAACACCCGUGGCGAAAGCGGCUCUCUGGAACGGUACUGACGCUGAGACGCGAAAGCGUGGGGAGCGGACAGG